CUUUAUGAAAGUCUCUAUAAGAUGAUAAGAACUUGAAACAUAAAUGCAGUGUAAACAUUUAUGAAACUCUUUUGUUUAUUGUGCAUCAUUUCCUCACCACAAUAAUGCUGCUGUUCACUGUUGCAUAAUUUAUCUUAGUGCCACUUCAAUUGUGUUUGCAGUUUUCAUGGGAAAGCAUCCUAGUUGGGAUAAUUACUCACUUUGGAGACGAUCAGCAAUUUGGUUCAUAAGCACCUCUGAAAAUUACCCUAUCGGCAGAAGGCAUUUUCCUUCAAGGGCAACAUAUUGUGCUGCUAAGAAGGGCUAGUAAAUCUUUGUGGGAGAAAAGCUGCACAUGAUAGCACAGUUGUGAAAGCUGGAGACUACUGUGUGAAAGACAGGAAACUUACAGAUAUAUCCACUUCGAUUCUGAGUGUGAUAUCCCAAAAGAUCUAAGGUACCAAUCAAAUGUUGCCAAUGUGUUGUGGACAGCCUACAUGGUGUGCUCUGGUGACUGCUGCUGACAAAAAAUUAGGCAGAGCUCUCAGGACAAGGAAUCCUGUUUGGAAGAAGAGCAUCCUCGCCUUACGUCAAAGGAGCAAGAAACAGUCACUCAGAUCUGAUACUGAUGAAAUUCUUAUCAUAUUGAUAAUUUAAAAUAAACAAACUUGGUAUAGCA
Molecule: long non-coding RNA, 658 nt
Filed under: Parus major (Great Tit)
Lineage: Eukaryota; Metazoa; Chordata; Aves; Passeriformes; Paridae
Description: lncRNA (ENSPMJG00000012065.1)
Source: RNAcentral